UAGAAUUGUGUACGCAUGUUCGUAGGGGUAAUAUGCAUGUGUAUAUGUGAGCGUCUGCAUCAUCUAUUGUGUGACUCGAAAAAAAAAGUUCGACUGCAAAUAGGAAAAGCCGUGAGCACUGUGGGGUUUGUUUAUGGGCGUGGUAGUACGCGGGAAGACCCAGCUCGUCUGUUUUGUUCGUUACGAAUGGAUGUACAGUUCGAGUCACGCGACAGAAGCUCGUGGACGUAGCAAAAGGAAAAAAAAAACUUAGCCAAGAAGAGACAAUGGGACGGAUGCAUCGGGAACGAGCAAAGAGGUUUGUUGUUGAAAUGUUGACGAGUGAGAAUAUAGUCCCAGGAUAAUUAAGGCAUGCAAAUGUACUCCGUUCCAAAAUAAAUGUUCAUUUAAAAAAUUUCAAACAGAUUAAUAGUUAGAAAUAUCUAGGAGUAUGAUGUAAAUAGUGCUGGCUGUCUUGUUUUCUG
RNAcentral lists this long non-coding RNA (464 nucleotides) under Setaria viridis. RNAcentral's name for it is "long non-coding RNA (SVIR_LNC003006)". Lineage: Eukaryota; Viridiplantae; Streptophyta; Magnoliopsida; Poales; Poaceae. The record is from RNAcentral.